ACCUUCUAUUUAAUACCUAAAUAACGAUAAAAUAUCUAGGUUUGUGUCUAAUUAUUAGGGUGAUUUGGUAAUGGGUCCUUUUUAUUUCUUAACGUCCAUUAUGUACCUACCUACAAACAAUGUAUUUAAACCAUUGUUACAAUUAACAGAUUCCACUAAUACUGCAACCCAAUCCAGUACAACCCAGUGGAAGAAUGACCAGAAAUGCAAAAAUAUUUCAAGAAACUAUGGGAUAUUUUCUCGUCGUAGUCAACAUGAGACACAUUCUCUUCAAGGUUCUACCGAAAAGCAAAGAGGGGGUGAUCGGAAAGGAGCAAAAUGUUCAAGAAAACUCUUAAUGACUAACUAAAAAUGAAGGUUUUUCUAAUAAAGGCAAGUGCCAAAAUGUACCGUAUAAAUAUAUUUUGUGAUUAUGCAUGUAAUAAUUAAUAAACGUUUUAAAAUUCAAA
Pectinophora gossypiella (pink bollworm) is the source of this 449-nucleotide long non-coding RNA. RefSeq lists it as uncharacterized. The transcript is spliced from 2 exons. NCBI's taxonomy places the organism in Eukaryota, Metazoa, Arthropoda, Insecta, Lepidoptera, Gelechiidae. The record is from RefSeq and is a predicted model, not a curated record.